UGACCCCCUGUCCUCACACAGU
RNAcentral lists this microRNA (22 nucleotides) under Gallus gallus (chicken). Its description in RNAcentral is "gga-miR-12257-3p". Lineage: Eukaryota; Metazoa; Chordata; Aves; Galliformes; Phasianidae. The record is from miRBase by way of RNAcentral.